Molecule: ribosomal RNA, 2891 nt
Filed under: Vibrio parahaemolyticus
Lineage: Bacteria; Pseudomonadati; Pseudomonadota; Gammaproteobacteria; Vibrionales; Vibrionaceae
Description: bacterial LSU rRNA
Rfam family: Bacterial large subunit ribosomal RNA
Source: RNAcentral
GGUUAAGUGACUAAGCGUACACGGUGGAUGCCUUGGCAGUCAGAGGCGAUGAAAGACGUAGUAACUUGCGAUAAGCCCAGAUUAGGUAGUAACAACCAUUUGAGUCUGGGAUUUCUGAAUGGGGAAACCCACGUGCAUAAGCACGUAUCCUUACCUGAAUACAUAGGGUAAGGAGGCGAACCGGGGGAACUGAAACAUCUAAGUACCCCGAGGAAAAGAAAUCAACCGAGAUUCCGAAAGUAGCGGCGAGCGAAAUUGGACUAGCCCUUAAGCUUUACACGCGUUAGACGAACGGUCUGGAAAGUCCGACGAUACAGGGUGAUAGUCCCGUAGUUGACGACGUGUGUUCAGUGAAAUCGAGUAGGGCGGGACACGUGAUAUCCUGUCUGAAUAUGGGGGGACCAUCCUCCAAGGCUAAAUACUACUGACUGACCGAUAGUGAACCAGUACCGUGAGGGAAAGGCGAAAAGAACCCCUGUGAGGGGAGUGAAAUAGAACCUGAAACCGUGUACGUACAAGCAGUAGGAGCAGGCUUUGUCCUGUGACUGCGUACCUUUUGUAUAAUGGGUCAGCGACUUAUAUUCAGUGGCAAGGUUAACCAUCUAGGGGAGCCGUAGGGAAACCGAGUCUUAACUGGGCGUUCAGUCUCUGGAUAUAGACCCGAAACCAGGUGAUCUAGCCAUGGGCAGGUUGAAGGUUGAGUAACAUCAACUGGAGGACCGAACCGACUAAUGUUGAAAAAUUAGCGGAUGACUUGUGGCUAGGGGUGAAAGGCCAAUCAAACCUGGAGAUAGCUGGUUCUCCCCGAAAGCUAUUUAGGUAGCGCCUCGGACGAAUACUACUGGGGGUAGAGCACUGUUAAGGCUAGGGGGUCAUCCCGACUUACCAACCCUUUGCAAACUCCGAAUACCAGUAAGUACUAUCCGGGAGACACACGGCGGGUGCUAACGUCCGUCGUGGAGAGGGAAACAACCCAGACCGCCAGCUAAGGUCCCAAAUUACUACUAAGUGGGAAACGAUGUGGGAAGGCUCAGACAGCCAGGAUGUUGGCUUAGAAGCAGCCAUCAUUUAAAGAAAGCGUAAUAGCUCACUGGUCGAGUCGGCCUGCGCGGAAGAUGUAACGGGGCUAAGUAGUAAACCGAAGCUGCGGCAAUGUGCUUUUGCACAUUGGGUAGGGGAGCGUUCUGUAAGCGGUUGAAGGUGUGUGGUAACGCAUGCUGGACGUAUCAGAAGUGCGAAUGCUGACAUGAGUAACGAUAAAGGGGGUGAAAAACCUCCUCGCCGGAAGACCAAGGGUUCCUGUCCAACGUUAAUCGGGGCAGGGUAAGUCGACCCCUAAGGCGAGGCCGAAAGGCGUAGUCGAUGGGAAACGGGUUAAUAUUCCCGUACUUCUUACAAUUGCGAUGGGGGGACGGAGAAGGCUAGGUGGGCCUGGCGACGGUUGUCCAGGUUCAAGUGCGUAGGCUUAAGAGUUAGGUAAAUCCGGCUCUUUUUAAGGCUGAGACACGACGUCGAGCACCUACGGGUGUGAAGUCAUUGAUGCCAUGCUUCCAGGAAAAGCCUCUAAGCUUCAGAUUGUAAGGAAUCGUACCCCAAACCGACACAGGUGGUCGGGUAGAGAAUACCAAGGCGCUUGAGAGAACUCGGGUGAAGGAACUAGGCAAAAUGGUACCGUAACUUCGGGAGAAGGUACGCUCUUGAUGGUGAAGUCCCUUGCGGAUGGAGCUGACGAGAGUCGCAGAUACCAGGUGGCUGCAACUGUUUAUUAAAAACACAGCACUGUGCAAAAUCGUAAGAUGACGUAUACGGUGUGACGCCUGCCCGGUGCCGGAAGGUUAAUUGAUGGGGUUAGACUUCGGUCGAAGCUCUUGAUCGAAGCCCCGGUAAACGGCGGCCGUAACUAUAACGGUCCUAAGGUAGCGAAAUUCCUUGUCGGGUAAGUUCCGACCUGCACGAAUGGCGUAAUGAUGGCCACGCUGUCUCCACCCGAGACUCAGUGAAAUUGAAAUCGCUGUGAAGAUGCAGUGUACCCGCGGCUAGACGGAAAGACCCCGUGAACCUUUACUACAGCUUGGCACUGAACAUUGACCCUACAUGUGUAGGAUAGGUGGGAGGCUUUGAAGCACGUACGCCAGUAUGUGUGGAGCCGUCCUUGAAAUACCACCCUUGUAGUGUUGAUGUUCUAACGUCGACCCCUAAUCGGGGUUGCGGACAGUGCCUGGUGGGUAGUUUGACUGGGGCGGUCUCCUCCCAAAGAGUAACGGAGGAGCACGAAGGUGGGCUAAUCACGGUUGGACAUCGUGAGGUUAGUGCAAUGGCAUAAGCCCGCUUGACUGCGAGAAUGACAAUUCGAGCAGGUGCGAAAGCAGGUCAUAGUGAUCCGGUGGUUCUGAAUGGAAGGGCCAUCGCUCAACGGAUAAAAGGUACUCCGGGGAUAACAGGCUGAUACCGCCCAAGAGUUCAUAUCGACGGCGGUGUUUGGCACCUCGAUGUCGGCUCAUCACAUCCUGGGGCUGAAGUCGGUCCCAAGGGUAUGGCUGUUCGCCAUUUAAAGUGGUACGCGAGCUGGGUUUAGAACGUCGUGAGACAGUUCGGUCCCUAUCUGCCGUGGGCGUUGGAAGAUUGAAGGGGGCUGCUCCUAGUACGAGAGGACCGGAGUGGACGAACCUCUGGUGUUCGGGUUGUGUCGCCAGACGCAUUGCCCGGUAGCUAAGUUCGGAAUCGAUAACCGCUGAAAGCAUCUAAGCGGGAAGCGAGCCCUGAGAUGAGUCUUCCCUGAUACUUUAAGUAUCCUAAAGGGUUGUCGGAGACUACGACGUUGAUAGGUCAGGUGUGUAAGUGCUGUGAGGCAUUGAGCUAACUGAUACUAAUUGCCCGUGAGGCUUAACCAU